GAGGAAUCUAGACACAUUUUAAAUCUAUGAAAGAUGUUGAUGAUGACCAUGACACUAAUGAAGUAUGAAACCAUAGGAAACUGUGAAAUGGAGGAGGGUUCCCCCACAUAUCUGGAGAAGAGCUCCCCUCUUGCACAGAAGAACAAAAGCAAAAGGAUCAAAGUGGUGGAACAACUAUAGAGUGUCUCAUUGCUAGAGACCCUUCAGAAAUGGAGAAGCAGGCUGCCAUGAUGAGAAGACUGAAGGACAAAGAAUAUAAAUGACUUUCCAAUGGUCUUCCAGGAAGAUGGUAACAAGUCCAGGGCUAUCAGUCAGAUCUCUCUCAACUUCCAGACUGCAUUUCACUGAUGUCAUGAGCUGAUCCGAUAAUCAACAGGUGGCAGUGUGGCAUGAAAUUAAAACAACGGAGAGGCUCAGAGUCAACAUCAUGUUGACAAGAUAGAGCAGGGGAGCCUGAUGUGCCCACGUGACCAAGGAACUGCUGCUGUGCAUGGCAACCAGGAGUGGAAUUAAAGAGAAACACCUCCUCUUCUUGUGGGGCCCUGUCCUCCUUGGCUCCUCCUGGCCCAUGGAUCCAUUCUUCUAAGUCUUUCUCCUGCAGCAGAUGCCACCAUCACUCCAUUUGGUGAUUGUUCCACACUGCACAGAAGAACAGGGGUCAAAAGCUACAUUCUUGAAAGGUGAUUUCUAACUGCGAUCACCAUCUUUGACAAUGGAUGGCUCAUCCGUCAACAACUGACUUCUGUAAGAAGUGAAAGAAAAAAGCUGUGUGUGGAAGGAGAUGAUUCAAUAGUAGAUGAACAGAAAGAGAAUCUGAAGUCUUAGUGGAUGAUGUCAGUGUCCAUUUCUAUCCGUGCAAGAGUUGUGCUAUUCUCCAUACUCUGGGUUUGAUUGCAUGCAUCACUUCCAUCUAUGUAUAUGUAUAGUUAGGAUUAUGUUUUCCAAUGUGCAUUACUUUGCAUUUUUCAACAUUAAAUUUCAUCUGCCAUUUUGUUGCCCAGUCACCAAGUUUUGUGAGGUCCUUUUGUAGC
Molecule: long non-coding RNA, 1031 nt
Organism: Trachemys scripta elegans
Lineage: Eukaryota; Metazoa; Chordata; Testudines; Emydidae
Exons: 8
Source: RefSeq, a predicted model, not a curated record